UAGGGAAUAUUGGGCAAUGGGCGCAAGCCUGACCCAGCCAUGCCGCGUGCCGGAAGAAGGCCCUCUGGGUUGUAAACGGCUUUUGACGGGGAAGAAACGACUCUUGCGAGAGGCAUUGACGGUACCCGCAGAAUAAGCACCGGCUAACUCCGUGCCAGCAGCCGCGGUAAUACGGAGGGUGCAAGCGUUGUCCGGAUUUAUUGGGUUUAAAGGGUGCGUAGGCGGUCUGAUAAGUCGGCGGUGAAAGCCCGGGGCUCAACCCCGGAACUGCCAUCGAUACUGUCAGACUUGAGUGUGGUUGAGGGUGGCGGAAUGGGCGGUGUAGCGGUGAAAUGCAUAGAUACCGUCCAGAACCCCGAUUGCGAAGGCAGCUGCCUAAGCCACAACUGACGCUGAGGCACGAAAGCGUGGGGAGCAAACA
Molecule: ribosomal RNA, 421 nt
Filed under: uncultured bacterium
Lineage: Bacteria
Description: bacterial SSU rRNA
Rfam family: Bacterial small subunit ribosomal RNA
Source: RNAcentral